GAGUCUAGUGUGAUUGAUGAUUUACUGUUAUUUGGCCUGUUUUACAGCUUUGAAUGCAUUAUGGGGUUUGAUGUGUUCAUUUUAUAGUUUCGAGUGCAUAUAUUACUGUUUUAUUAAUUAUGGGUUGAAUGACUGAAGAACUGAUAAUGUAUGUUGUCUGUUCGGCAUGAAUUACGAUUUGCUUGUUUAAAUGUGAAUUGAUGAUGCUUAUUGAGGAAAAGGGAAAUGAAACAUUUUGUAGACUGAUAAUUGUAUGAUGGGGUCAGCCUGACUAGAUAUCCUGGGAGAUGGUGGACGGACCGGGUCCGUAGGGAACCCUACCGGGAU
Molecule: long non-coding RNA, 327 nt
Filed under: Carica papaya (papaya)
Lineage: Eukaryota; Viridiplantae; Streptophyta; Magnoliopsida; Brassicales; Caricaceae
Description: long non-coding RNA (CPAP_LNC012798)
Source: RNAcentral